This 258-nucleotide long non-coding RNA is filed under the name Prunus dulcis (almond). RNAcentral's name for it is "sRNA ncRNA". The record is from RNAcentral. Lineage: Eukaryota; Viridiplantae; Streptophyta; Magnoliopsida; Rosales; Rosaceae.
AUGAUUUGUUUUCAAACAAAUUUGACAUGGUUCAGCCUCAGAGUGAGAUGGAAUUGUAGAUCGAAAACGACAAGUAGCAGCGAUAUGACCCUUUUUAUGACAAAUUCGACAAAUAAGCACAGGAGGACCAUAACUGUUUCAAAAAGGUUGAUGAGGCUUACCAAGAAUACAUUGAGCACCAUUACCAAACUGAGGAGGAGAAUUGGAGAAUUGCUGAGGAGGAUUAGAAUAAGACUGAUUCUUGGGAUAAAAGCGUGA